CCUGCAACGAGCGCAACCCCUGUCACUAGUUGCCAUCAUUAAGUUGGGGACUCUAGUGAGACUGCCUACGCAAGUAGAGAGGAAGGGGGGGAUGACGUCAAAUCAUCACGGCCCUUACGCCUUGGGCCACACACGUAAUACAAUGGCCAGUACAGAGGGCAGCUACACAGCGAUGUGAUGCAAAUCUCGAAAGCUGGUCUCAGUUCGGAUUGGAGUCUGCAACUCGACUCUAUGAAGCUGGAAUCGCUAGUAAUCGCGC
This 259-nucleotide ribosomal RNA is filed under the name Chryseobacterium sp. April_TSA1A7. RNAcentral's name for it is "partial 16S ribosomal RNA". It matches the Rfam family "Bacterial small subunit ribosomal RNA", at positions 1086 to 1347 of the family's 1533-position model. Lineage: Bacteria; Pseudomonadati; Bacteroidota; Flavobacteriia; Flavobacteriales; Weeksellaceae. The record is from RNAcentral.